This 497-nucleotide ribosomal RNA is filed under the name uncultured bacterium. Its description in RNAcentral is "partial 16S ribosomal RNA". It matches the Rfam family "Bacterial small subunit ribosomal RNA", at positions 28 to 507 of the family's 1533-position model. The record is from RNAcentral.
GAUGAACGCUGGCGGCGUGCCUAAUACAUGCAAGUAGAACGCUGAAGGAAGGAGCUUGCUCUUUCCGGAUGAGUUGCGAACGGGUGAGUAACGCGUAGGUAACCUGCCUGGUAGCGGGGGAUAACUAUUGGAAACGAUAGCUAAUACCGCAUAACAGUAGAUGUUGCAUGAUAUCUACUUAAAAGGUGCAAUUGCACCACUACCAGAUGGACCUGCGUUGUAUUAGCUAGUUGGUGAGGUAACGGCUCACCAAGGCGACGAUACAUAGCCGACCUGAGAGGGUGGUCGGCCACCCUGGGACUGGGACACGGCCCAGACUCCCACGGGGAGCAGCAGUAGGGAAUCUUCGGCAAUGGACGGAAGUCUGACCGAGCAACGCCGCGUGAGUGGAGAAGGUUUUCGGAUCGUAAAGCUCUGUUGUAAGGGAAGAACGAGUGUGAGAGUGGAAAGUUCACACUGUGACGGUAUCUUACCAGAAAGGGACGGCUAACUACGUG